RNAcentral lists this ribosomal RNA (112 nucleotides) under Sarcocystis gigantea. RNAcentral's name for it is "partial small subunit ribosomal RNA". The record is from RNAcentral. Lineage: Eukaryota; Apicomplexa; Conoidasida; Eucoccidiorida; Sarcocystidae.
UUAGAGUGUUUGAAGCAGGCUUUCGUUGCCUUGAAUACUGCAGCAUGGAAUAACAAUAUAGGAUUUCGGUUCUAUUAUUUUGUUGGUUUUUUCUGUAGGACUGAAAUAAUGA